CUUUCUUUGCUGGCGACCGGCGCACGGGUGAGUAACACGUAUCCAACCUGCCCUUUACUCGGGGAUAGCCUUUCGAAAGAAAGAUUAAUACCCGAUAGCAUAAUGAUUCCGCAUGGUUUCAUUAUUAAAGGAUUCCGGUAAAGGAUGGGGAUGCGUUCCAUUAGGUUGUUGGUGGGGUAACGGCCCACCAGCCUUCGAUGGAUAGGGGUUCUGAGAGGAAGGUCCCCCACAUUGGAACUGAGACACGGUCCAA
RNAcentral lists this ribosomal RNA (253 nucleotides) under uncultured bacterium. Its description in RNAcentral is "partial 16S ribosomal RNA". It matches the Rfam family "Bacterial small subunit ribosomal RNA", at positions 79 to 334 of the family's 1533-position model. The record is from RNAcentral.